This 464-nucleotide long non-coding RNA is filed under the name Mytilus galloprovincialis (Mediterranean mussel). The record is from RNAcentral. Lineage: Eukaryota; Metazoa; Mollusca; Bivalvia; Mytilida; Mytilidae.
GAAAAGGGAAAAUUUAAUUUUUAUAUUUGAUGUAAAGAUAAAUUUUGACUAUUUGUGCAUUUAUGAAAUACAGCUGUGGAUUCAUUGAUUUUGUGAGUAAAGGGAUACUAUCAAUUGAAAUGUCCAACAAAAAACUUCUAAAUAUUUUCUACAGGUUUGAAUGCUUACUUGUGUCAUACCACUGAUCAAAUAUCCACAAAAAUGCAAUUUUUCCAACAACCACAAAGAUUGGUUACAAUGAAAAUAAACAAAUCUACAUUAGUUCUCAGUGGUAUAUACUGUAAACCAACUGACUUUCACCAUUAAUAUUUUGUGACAUUCAGAUGUAGAAAAUUUGGGAAAAAUUCUACAAUUAGUUUUUGAACAUGUCAAUAUCAAAUAUGUGUUUUUCUGUUUUGAAUUCAUCAACAAUUUUAAAACACAUUAUUAAAGUAAAUCUAGUAAAAGUCCAGCUAUAAUUAAAU